CGGCCGCGUCGACGUGAGUGUGGAUCUGCAUGAGUGUGAGUGUGGAUAGGCAUGAGUGUGAGUGUGGAUAGGCAUGAGUGUGAGUGUGGAUAUGCAGGAGUGUGAGUGUGGAUAGGCAUGAGUGUGAGUGUGAUUCUGCAUGAGUGUGUGUGGAUAUGCAUGAGUGUGAGUGUGGAUAGGCGUGAAAGGCCAAUCAAACUCCGUGAUAGCUGGUUCUCCCGAAAUGCAUUUAGGUGCAGCGUCACGUGUUCAGUUAUGGAGGUAGAGCACUGAAUGGGCUAGGGCCCACAAGGUACGACCAAUCAAACUCCGAAUACCAUAACUCCAGAGCGUGGCAGUGAGACCAUGGGGGAUGAGCUUCAUGGUCGAGAGGGAAACAGCCCAGACCGCCGGCUAAGGCCCCUAAU
This 407-nucleotide ribosomal RNA is filed under the name uncultured bacterium. RNAcentral describes it as "bacterial LSU rRNA". It matches the Rfam family "Bacterial large subunit ribosomal RNA", at positions 690 to 1052 of the family's 2925-position model. The record is from RNAcentral.